ACAAAUCAACAUCUAUAUAUGGAUUGAGGUUAGCGCGCCACAAGGUGGCAAGCUGUUGUCCUCGCCCAUAUAAUAGACAUUUACCCCGAGCCUCCUUGUGAGGCUUGGUUGGGCAGUGUUAUGCUGCUCCGGUUGUGCAGCGUUAGCGCGCUGCCUGCCACAUAGACGCUUGUAUGUUUGACAGAGUUUACACUAUGCAUAAAAGUGA
This 208-nucleotide unclassified non-coding RNA is filed under the name uncultured fungus. RNAcentral describes it as "sequence contains ITS1, 5.8S rRNA gene". The record is from RNAcentral. Lineage: Eukaryota; Fungi.